UGCGCAGGCGGUUUUGUAAGACAGUGGUGAAAUCCCCGGGCUCAACCUGGGAACUGCCAUUGUGACCGCAAAGCUAGAGUGCGGCAGAGGGGGAUGGAAUUCCGCGUGUAGCAGUGAAAUGCGUAGAUAUGCGGAGGAACACCGAUGGCGAAGGCAAUCCCCUGGGCCUGCACUGACGCUCAUGCACGAAAGGCUGGGAGCAAACA
Molecule: ribosomal RNA, 206 nt
Filed under: uncultured bacterium
Lineage: Bacteria
Description: partial 16S ribosomal RNA
Rfam family: Bacterial small subunit ribosomal RNA
Source: RNAcentral